RNAcentral lists this long non-coding RNA (237 nucleotides) under Elaeis guineensis (African oil palm). RNAcentral describes it as "long non-coding RNA (EGUI_LNC047394)". Lineage: Eukaryota; Viridiplantae; Streptophyta; Magnoliopsida; Arecales; Arecaceae. The record is from RNAcentral.
GACAUCUAGCAACAUGUCAUGAUGUCGUAAAAGAUUUAAAAUUUGAUGAAAAUAUAAAAAUUAUUCUUUCAUAGUGAGUUACCUUGUAAUUCAAUCCUUCAAUCACACAACAUCCCAGAUAGAUCAUGGGCAUAGAGAUAUAUCAAACUCAAAUACCUAUCCAUUUGUAUCUCAAUCUGAUGAUGAUGACUCGAUUGAUGAACCAAUAAAAAUCUUUUCUACUGUCCAUCCUUGGUC